This 74-nucleotide transfer RNA is filed under the name Candidatus Yanofskybacteria bacterium CG10_big_fil_rev_8_21_14_0_10_36_16. RNAcentral's name for it is "tRNA-Lys". It matches the Rfam family "tRNA". From Rfam's summary of the family: Transfer RNA (tRNA) molecules are approximately 80 nucleotides in length. Their secondary structure includes four short double-helical elements and three loops (D, anti-codon, and T loops). Further hydrogen bonds mediate the characteristic L-shaped molecular structure. tRNAs have two regions of fundamental functional importance: the anti-codon, which is responsible for specific mRNA codon recognition, and the 3' end, to which the tRNAs corresponding amino acid is attached (by aminoacyl-tRNA synthetases). tRNAs cope with the degeneracy of the genetic code in two manners: having more than one tRNA (with a specific anti-codon) for a particular amino acid; and 'wobble' base-pairing, i.e. permitting non-standard base-pairing at the 3rd anti-codon position. The record is from RNAcentral. Lineage: Bacteria; Candidatus Yanofskyibacteriota.
GAGCCCAUAACUCAAUGGUAGAGUACCGGACCUUUAAUCCGGCAGUCAGAGUUCAAGUCUCUGUGGGCCCACCA